UUUAUGAUGUUGUGUUUGUACUUAAAUUGUUACUAUUUACAAAAGCAUAUACUCAGAAAGAUUAUAUGUUUGACAUUCAAUUUGAUAUAGAAAGGGUAACUUGUGUAGCUGUGCAAUGAGCAAUCUGUAUUGACUAAAUCUUCUUGUUCAGCCAAUUUAUAUAUAUAUGCUAUCUUAGGUAACACUUAUGUGAAAGACUAUAAGAGAAGAGCAAUAUGUACAUAACCAGACCUGUGUCUCACUUCAGAAGUCAUCCGGAGUCUCUUUCAUUGCCUCCUGAAGGUCCAAAUUCAGGUUAUUUAGUCAUCCAAGAUAUAGAGCCUGAAGAGAUUGUUAGUUGCUUCGGAUUGAGUAAAGAUAAGGGCGAUAUUCAUCUGCCUUUCCCUCAGAACAUCAAAUUGACUACUGCAUAUUAUACAGGCGAAGAUACUUUUUACGACAAUCUUGCCUUUUUUCCUGUUCUCAAUCAACCAUUGUCCAGAAACUUGUACUAUGUGAUAGAAUCACAUAAAAAGCGUAAAGGGAAGGCAUAUGCUUGUUCCAAGGAAGAAGAUGUGACUACUUGUUGUUUUUGCAGUCAGGUUCAUGAUGUAGAGCCAAGAACAUUAGAUCCUGAUGACAUAUAUCAGCAAUUUGAAAUUGUUGAUGAUCACCACGAGGGUAGUUUCUAUGCCAAAUCCGUGGCUCAUAAUGGUAUCCCUCCAUACUUAUUGAGAAAGGAAGGAUGGACUGUUCAAUAUGAAACUUCUAAAGAAUAUGUAAUAGGUGAGGCUUUCCAAUACGAGUUCACAAGCCGUUGUGGUAGGAAAAUGGUACUGUCCUUUCAUGUUUAUCAAAGAUGGUAUGUGGACGCCAAGUGAUCAGAUGACAAAUUCAAUAAUUUAUGAGAUGAUACUUGAGCAAAGAUGGGAACAGAUAUUUGAGCGCGACAAUGUUGAUCAUGGGAAUGUGGUAAUGGUUGAUGCAGUAGUUCUAAGAGAAGUUGUGUCGGUUGGAGGCAGGGAGGCUGUGUGGUAUGAGAAGAAUGCGGUUGACUAUAAAACUAUAUGGUUUGCGAGUUUGGGGAGAGAAGAGGUGAGUGUAGGAUUGAGGAUUGAGAUAUUCGAGAGAAUGAAAUGGGAGGAAGAAAGAGUUGGAUGGGUUGGUAAUGAAGAAAGGGUGGUGAGAGUGAAUAGAGUGGUGGAGUUUGCAGGAGGUGCUCAAGGCUGGAGGAAGCUGAGAUGCUAUGUCUUGGUGGAGAGGUUUGUGCUAAAGAGAAUGGAUGGAAGUUUGGUUAUGACUUACGAUUUUAAGCACACUCAUCAACUCAACUGCAUGUGGGACUAAAAACUAUGUGUGUUUCCCUAUGUUUGAUUUAUCUCCCUGAGUUAUCAGUUAUCCCCAUAUCUACAAACAAAUUCAUAUUUUAUUUUGCUAAUUGAUUACACACGAACAUGCCAGGAGAACUCCCGCAAGAGAGACAAGAGCUCAACCACCGCACCAACCUUUGUUGGCAACAAAGCAAAGCCAUAUUUUAUUCACUAUUUUAUUUCUUUUUCUUUUUGCCUAUGUAAAAAUGGUGUAAAAUGACUGUAUGUUUUUUGUUAUCAAGGGUCCUGGAGUUUGAAUUUUUAUAAUCAUUUUCAGAUAGUGGAGGAUAUGAAGUUUUCGACUAA
Daucus carota subsp. sativus is the source of this 1655-nucleotide long non-coding RNA. RefSeq lists it as uncharacterized. The record is from RefSeq and is a predicted model, not a curated record. Lineage: Eukaryota; Viridiplantae; Streptophyta; Magnoliopsida; Apiales; Apiaceae. The transcript has 2 exons.